GACGUCACCGCUGCUGUUCUCUCACAGCGGGACCCAGCAGGGAGCAGCAGCGGUGACAUCACUAAGCUCCGCCCAUGCCCCAUGCCAGGUGCACGGAGCGGAGCUAACAGAGGAGAUUACCCGAGAUCCCCGCCACGGAACGGGACAAGCCCAGGCAUAACGGAGGAGGAAUAGUCAGGACUCCUUUAAGAUAUGAAACAAAUUAAAAGCAUGUGUAAAGGAGACACAGAAAAACCAUCACAAGAUUCUGAACAGAAGUUCCUAGAAGAUACCUGAAGGGGCGGAGCCAUCCCCAGGCAGUCAUCUUUCCUUUAUCCAGAAGUGCAACUAUGCAUACUCUAACAUAUUGAUCAGCCAGGAAUUUGGUCCCAUCUGAUAUAUUUUCCCCUUUAUUGGGUCUUCGUUUCGUACUUCUAUCAAGUUUUUCUUCUGAUGCAUCGCUAACUGAAGCCAACCUACAAAGAUCUUCGACAGACUUCCAGAUACAGAUUUUACCUGGACUUCCUUUCUCGUUUAUUCAGCAUGAUCAGACUACAAGUUUUCAGUUUUACAUGACUUUUAUUGUAAAGAAAGAGGAAGUUCAUCUGUUGUAAGGCACCUUUAUUACCUGGGGUGUCACCUGAUUGGCUAUACCUGCACAGCACCCUUGGAUGUAUCUGUGCACAUACAAGUUUUUUGUUUCCUGAAUGUUUUUUCUGUUAACUGUUUCACUGCUAUAUGUUACAGUAAAGAAGG
Hyla sarda is the source of this 735-nucleotide long non-coding RNA. RefSeq lists it as uncharacterized. Lineage: Eukaryota; Metazoa; Chordata; Amphibia; Anura; Hylidae. The record is from RefSeq and is a predicted model, not a curated record. The transcript has 3 exons.